RNAcentral lists this ribosomal RNA (531 nucleotides) under uncultured bacterium. RNAcentral's name for it is "bacterial SSU rRNA". It matches the Rfam family "Bacterial small subunit ribosomal RNA", at positions 979 to 1509 of the family's 1533-position model. The record is from RNAcentral.
CCUUGACAUACUAAGAACUUUCCAGAGAUGGAUUGGUGCCUUCGGGAACUUAGAUACAGGUGCUGCAUGGCUGUCGUCAGCUCGUGUCGUGAGAUGUUGGGUUAAGUCCCGCAACGAGCGCAACCCUUUUCCUUAUUUGCCAGCGGGUCAUGCCGGGAACUUUAAGGAUACUGCCAGUGACAAACUGGAGGAAGGCGGGGACGACGUCAAGUCAUCAUGGCCCUUACGGCCAGGGCUACACACGUGCUACAAUGGUCGGUACAAAGGGUUGCUACCUCGCGAGAGGAUGCUAAUCUCAAAAAGCCGAUCGUAGCCCGGAUCGCAGUCUGCAACUCGACUGCGUGAAGUCGGAAUCGCUAGUAAUCGCGGAUCAGAAUGCCGCGGUGAAUACGUUCCCGGGCCUUGUACACACCGCCCGUCACACCAUGGGAGUUUGUUGCACCAGAAGUAGGUAGUCUAACCGCAAGGAGGACGCUUACCACGGUGUGGCCGAUGACUGGGGUGAAGUCGUAACAAGGUAAGCGUAGAUGA